GGAAGUGUGGCCGAGCGGUUGAAGGCACCGGUCUUGAAAACCGGCGACCCGAANAGNGGUUCCAGAGUUCGAAUCUCUGCGCUUCCGCCA
Molecule: transfer RNA, 90 nt
Filed under: Klebsiella pneumoniae
Lineage: Bacteria; Pseudomonadati; Pseudomonadota; Gammaproteobacteria; Enterobacterales; Enterobacteriaceae
Description: tRNA-Ser
Rfam family: tRNA
About the family: Transfer RNA (tRNA) molecules are approximately 80 nucleotides in length. Their secondary structure includes four short double-helical elements and three loops (D, anti-codon, and T loops). Further hydrogen bonds mediate the characteristic L-shaped molecular structure. tRNAs have two regions of fundamental functional importance: the anti-codon, which is responsible for specific mRNA codon recognition, and the 3' end, to which the tRNAs corresponding amino acid is attached (by aminoacyl-tRNA synthetases). tRNAs cope with the degeneracy of the genetic code in two manners: having more than one tRNA (with a specific anti-codon) for a particular amino acid; and 'wobble' base-pairing, i.e. permitting non-standard base-pairing at the 3rd anti-codon position.
Source: RNAcentral